GGCUUAUAACUCAAAACCCAAAGCAUUUAGAGCAAAUCUGACGGGGUAAAAUUGUUUAUCAGUUCAAGAUCUAUCUGCCCUGAAAUUUUCAGAUGAAUCGGACAACCCGUUGUUGGGUUGCUGGCCCUGAAUUAGUAAUUUUAAGGAAAUUUUGCUCUUUUUGGUUAUUAUCUUGAAUAUUAUUAUAGAUAGAGAUAAACUAUAAACAGCAAUAAUGUUCACCAAAGUAAGAUUUACAAAUAAGUCAACAUGACUGAAAUGGUC
RNAcentral lists this long non-coding RNA (264 nucleotides) under Mytilus galloprovincialis (Mediterranean mussel). Lineage: Eukaryota; Metazoa; Mollusca; Bivalvia; Mytilida; Mytilidae. The record is from RNAcentral.